Girardinichthys multiradiatus is the source of this 500-nucleotide long non-coding RNA. RefSeq lists it as uncharacterized. The transcript has 3 exons. The record is from RefSeq and is a predicted model, not a curated record. NCBI's taxonomy places the organism in Eukaryota, Metazoa, Chordata, Actinopteri, Cyprinodontiformes, Goodeidae.
AAGCCGCUUCCCUUCACUCCAGACUUGAGCGUAGCUGCGCAAGGGUUGAAUCUCUGCUGCUACGAUUGUCUCCAAGAGAAACUCUUCUGUUUUUUUCCCCCACCUUUUCAGGGUUGGAAAACACGGAAUUUGCUGGUACAAUAAAGUGCUCACUUGAAGUUUAAGGGUCUCCGUGAAGGUAAUUUAAAUCCAAGCUUUGUUCGGCUCUGGGAUAAUUGUGCGGGAUCUGCGGCGGAUACGCCUGCGGACAUAGCAGCUUAAACAAUCCGGGUGGAUGGUUUUAAAUGGUGAACAGUCGUAGUGCAAAAUUCCCUGGACGCAUCUAGGAGCUACAGAACGUCUCUUCUGUUAACAAACAGAGGGACAAUGUUGUGGGACAAACUGUCCUGGCUGCUGGCCCUCUUGGCCGUAUCAUCAGGAGGGCUGCCACCUUCCAACGAGCCUCUGUCUGCUCCCAGAAUCUUCGUGUCCUUUAAAGGUGGAGAACUUGAGGUUUUCCU